GUCUACGGCCAUACCACCCUGAACAUGCCCAAUCUCAUCUGAUCUUGGAAGCUAAGCCCGAUUGGGCCUGGUUAGUACUUGGAUGAGAGAAAUGAAAAGGAAAAACCACAACCACAGCUA
Molecule: ribosomal RNA, 120 nt
Filed under: Chinchilla lanigera (long-tailed chinchilla)
Lineage: Eukaryota; Metazoa; Chordata; Mammalia; Rodentia; Chinchillidae
Source: RNAcentral